CUGAAUGUGUCAUAUAAUGUUCAUGUUGCCUUAAAACGCAAUCAAAUACAACUUUCAACAACGGAUCUCUUGGCUCUCGCAUCGAUGAAAAACGCAGCGAAAUGCGAUAAAUAAUGUGAAUUGCAUAUUUUCAGUGAAUCAUCGAAUCUUUGAACGCACCUUGCUCUCCUUGGUAUUCCGAGGAGCAUGCCUGUUUGAUUGUCAUUAAAUUCUCAACCCCACCGAUUUGUUUUGGGGGGAUUGGACUUGGAGUGUGCUGGCGAAAGUCGGCUCCUCUUUAAAUGCAUCAGUGGAGAGAAACUUGCCCCACUGUGAUAAUCCUGUUGUGCUGUGGUGGGUGAAAGUCUGCUUUCAACUGUCCUCCGGGACGAUACACCCUCUUAUUUUGACCUCAAAUCAAGUAGGACUACCCGCUGAACUUAAACAUAUCAA
RNAcentral lists this ribosomal RNA (432 nucleotides) under uncultured Amphinema. RNAcentral describes it as "eukaryotic LSU rRNA". The stretch from base 50 to 204 matches the Rfam family "5.8S ribosomal RNA". The record is from RNAcentral. Lineage: Eukaryota; Fungi; Basidiomycota; Agaricomycetes; Atheliales; Atheliaceae.